UACAGAGGGUGCGAGCGUUAAUCGGAAUUACUGGGCGUAAAGCGCACGUAGGUGGCUGUGUAAGUCGGGUGUGAAAUCCCCGGGCUCAACCUGGGAACUGCAUUCGAGACUGCAUAGCUGGAGUACGGAAGAGGAGGGCGGAAUUCCCGGUGUAGCGGUGAAAUGCGUAGAUAUCGGGAGGAAUACCAGUGGCGAAGGCGGCUUCUUGGCCUAUUCUUGACGCUGAGGCGCGAAAGCUGGGGGAGCAAACGGG
Molecule: ribosomal RNA, 253 nt
Filed under: uncultured bacterium
Lineage: Bacteria
Description: partial 16S ribosomal RNA
Rfam family: Bacterial small subunit ribosomal RNA
Source: RNAcentral